CUGCGUAGAAGUAAAAAAUUUACAAUUAAUUUCGACUUAAUAAUUAAGGACUUUCUAGCCUUCGUGCAGA
This 70-nucleotide transfer RNA is filed under the name Bemisia tabaci. RNAcentral describes it as "tRNA-Arg". The record is from RNAcentral. Lineage: Eukaryota; Metazoa; Arthropoda; Insecta; Hemiptera; Aleyrodidae.